RNAcentral lists this ribosomal RNA (535 nucleotides) under uncultured bacterium. RNAcentral describes it as "bacterial SSU rRNA". It matches the Rfam family "Bacterial small subunit ribosomal RNA", at positions 777 to 1313 of the family's 1533-position model. The record is from RNAcentral.
AAUAGAUACCCGGGUAGUCCACGCCGUAAACGAUGAGUGCUAGGUGUUGGGGGCUUUGAGCCCUCAGUGCCGAAGGAAACCCAUUAAGCACUCCGCCUGGGGAGUACGGCCGCAAGGCUGAAACUCAAAGGAAUUGACGGGGGCCCGCACAAGCGGUGGAGCAUGUGGUUUAAUUCGAAGCAACGCGAAGAACCUUACCAGGGCUUGACAUCCCGCUGACCGCUCUAGAGAUAGAGCUUCCCUUCGGGGCAGCGGUGACAGGUGGUGCAUGGUUGCCGUCAGCUCGUGUCGUGAGAUGUUGGGUUCAGUCCCGCAACGAGCGCAACCCUUAUCGUUAGUUGCCAGCACUUCGGGUGGGCACUCUAACGAGACAGCCGGUGAAAGCCGGAGGAAGGUGGGGAUGACGUCAAAUCAUCAUGCCCCUUAUGUCCUGGGCUACACACGUGCUACAAUGGUCGGUACAAAGGGCAGCAAACCCGCGAGGGGGAGCCAAUCCCAUAAAGCCGAUCUCAGUUCGGAUCGCAGGCUGCAACCG